CCUACGGGAGGCAGCAGUGAGGAAUAUUGCGCAAUGGGGGAAACCCUGACGCAGCAACGCCGCGUGGGUGAAGAAGGCCUUCGGGUCGUAAAGCCCUUUCGGACGGGACGAACGUUCCGCGGGGUCAAGCCGCGGAAUCUGACGGUACCGUAAGAAGAAGCACCGGCUAACUCCGUGCCAGCAGCCGCGGUAAUACGGAGGGUGCAAGCGUUGUUCGGAAUUACUGGGCGUAAAGCGCGUGUAGGCGGCCUUGUAAGCCAGACGUGAAAGCCCCCGGCUUAACCGGGGAAGUGCGUCUGGAACUGCUCGGCUUGAGUACGGGAGAGGGAGGCGGAAUUCCCAGUGUAGAGGUGAAAUUCGUAGAUAUUGGGAGGAACACCGGUGGCGAAAGCGGCCUCCUGGACCGAUACUGACGCUAAGACGCGAAAGCGUGGGGAGCAAACAGGAUUAGAUACCCUGGUAGUCCACGCGGUAAACGAUGGGCACUAGGUGUGGGGGGUAUCCACUCUCUCCCGUGCCGAAGCUAACGCAUUAAGUGCCCCGCCCUGGGGAGUACGGUCGCAAGACUAAAAACUCAAAGGAAUUGACGG
Molecule: ribosomal RNA, 590 nt
Filed under: uncultured bacterium
Lineage: Bacteria
Description: bacterial SSU rRNA
Rfam family: Bacterial small subunit ribosomal RNA
Source: RNAcentral